This 384-nucleotide ribosomal RNA is filed under the name uncultured bacterium. RNAcentral describes it as "bacterial SSU rRNA". It matches the Rfam family "Bacterial small subunit ribosomal RNA", at positions 29 to 431 of the family's 1533-position model. The record is from RNAcentral.
AACGAACGCUGGCGGCGCGUCUUAAACAUGCAAGUCGAACGAUCUGUAGCAAUACAGGGAGUGGCGGACGGGUGAGGAACACGUAGGAAUCUACCUUGAAGAGCGGGACAACUUUGGGAAACCGGGCUAAUACCGCAUAGUACAGAGAUGUUAAAGGGCUAGCAAUAGUCGCUUCGAGAUGAGCCUGCGGUCUAUCAGCUUGUUGGUGAGGUAAUGGGCUCACCAAGGCUACGACGGAUAGCCGGUCUGAGAGGAUGAUCGGCCACACUGGCACUGAGACACGGGCCAGACUCCUACGGAGGCAGCAGUUAAGAAUCUUGCGCAAUGGGGGAACCCUGACGCAGCGACGCCGCGUGAAGGAUGAAGGCUUUCGGGUUGUAAACU